RNAcentral lists this long non-coding RNA (474 nucleotides) under Bos indicus x Bos taurus (hybrid cattle). RNAcentral's name for it is "lncRNA (ENSBIXG00005026299.1)". Lineage: Eukaryota; Metazoa; Chordata; Mammalia; Artiodactyla; Bovidae. The record is from RNAcentral.
AUGGCAAGCCACCUGCUUCGGUUGGUGGCGGAAUUGACUCAAUCCCGUGUAGGCCUUUCACCGAGGACGCUCCGGAUCCUGAGCGAGAGGAACUACAGCACUGCACCCCCUCUGCCGCAGCCAGAUCACUUCGGGCACGGAGGAAGAGCAUGGGCAGCUGGCCCAGGACCCACCAUAUCACCUGAGCCAAGCAGGAGAGGCCCCUGCUCACCCUUGCAAAUGCGCUUGCCUUUGUCAGAUUGUGAGUUUGGAAGGAGAAGAAGCUGGGCAGAAAUCACCGAAACCCUCUUGGGUCCGCUCUCCCGUGUUGUAAAUCUCACGGAACAGGCCAUCUGGUCCAGGUCUGCCACAGUGGGUAGGUUACGGCAGCAUCGCCAGAGCUGUUUAAAAUGUAACAAACCAACAAACUCUCAGGGAGCUGAAGGAUGCCUACCCCUGCCAUGGUCCCUGCCAUGCAGCCAGGAAAGUUGUUAA